UUGAGGACAUUUUCAUUUCCCUCUAAAAAAAUUUUCUUCUUUUCAUUUUCCCUUUAAAUUAUUUUACAGCUUUUAUUUUUCCCUUAGAAAAUAAAGAAAAAACUCUUCACUCUCUACACAGCAAACCUUUCAUUAUCUGCAUAACUAACCUUUGAGAAGAAAUAAAAAAAUGAUGGUGAAUCAAGUUUUUCUCAAAUAAAUCCUACAUCUAUCUCAAAUUUUGUUCUUCUUAUUAACAUCUUGAGGUAAGUUUUCUCAUAUUCUAUUUUUUACAUUUCAAAAAAUAAUGGUGAUUCGAUUUUGUUGUUCUUAUUUUCAUUUUUAUCAUAGAUAUGAAAUGAAAUCUUUCUUUAGCUUUGCACAAAUAGUUAUUUGAAUUAUAUGUUUUUGAUUUGAAGUUUUUUUUCUCAUUUUUGAUUCCAAUGUCAUCUUGCUCAUAGGUUUGAAUUAUUUGAACAGUAAAUAAUUUUUGGGUCUUUUGAAAAUUUUGCUCAAAUUCGUCUUUGUUUUUAAAUGUUGAUUUCAUUGUCAUCUUGCUCACAGAUUUGAAUUCUUUGAACAUUAAAUGAUUUUUGAGUCUUUUGUAGAUUUUGCUCAAAUUCGUUCCCAUUCUUCUUCAAUUAAGAGUUUAAAGUGAAUAAUUGUUAUUUCAUUAUCCACAUAGUUUAAGAUUUAAAGGAUUGUGAAAAAUACUUGUGGUUUCUGAUAAAUGCUUGAUUGGUUGAAUUUCUUGGACUUCCUUCGCUAUGCCUGAAUGUUUAUAGGCCUUGGUCUAUAGACUUCUUUAAUGAAUUUUUUAAAUUCAUAUUUUUUGCACCAGAAAAUGUCAGGGAAGGAACAUAGAAUCUUGUAAAACAAGUAAAUCCAUACUUAUUUAUGUGAAGAACUAGGAAAAAGAUACAAAAACUCAUAACCUUAAUAGUGGUGUAGUUAGCAUUUCACUAAAGGAAGCCGAAAUAAGUACACGAAGAAGUAAAAAUGAUUCAAUGUAUGGUAUAUCUAUAUAAGUUUUUCUUAUCAAUCUAUACAAUAUAGUUUUUUAAUGAAUUGACACCCCUUGGAUAAAGAUGCUCCGCCACUGUUAUCUCAUGUUUUUUAUCAGACACCUAUAUAAGAUUCAUAUAUUUUAACUUCACCAUUCACAAGAUACAUAAUCUUCUAGUAGGACAUGAAACAGUAAGAUACAAAGAUAUAGUGCCCACCAUCCAACUCAAGUUAACACUUGCAAAUUGACUGCUUAUCAGGGCAUAAAGGAAUAGGCUUUCUCAUGGAACUUUGAGGAUAUAGUAGUCACCCAGGCCAUGUGUAUUUCUCUCUUGGUAAAAGUGUUGUCUUAUAAUAAUUGGAGGUGUCUCAUGAAAACCCAACGCUGACGUGACACAUAAAUUUUGGAGGUGUAUAGAUAAUAAUUUUAUAAGUUGGAUUGUUCAAUCGAAAACAGUGGAGACGAGUUGAGGUGUCUAGAUGUGCACUGUCAAUAAAAUUGCAAUACUUACUUGCCAACUGAGGUCAAGUUUGAAUGUUUGUUUAUGUAUUAUGCCAAUAUAUUUUAAAUAGAAAUACAAGUCCAAGCAAAAUCUAUUGAGUUGCCGAAUCUGUAGGCAAAACUGUAGCAUCGCCCCUAAUUGCAAGGUUAGAAAGAAACCUUAGUAAGUUCCACUGCAAAAGGACAUAAUAGAAACUGUAGCUUUCUGGUAGAGAAGUGUUGAAUUCAAACACUUUGCAAGGAGCAGGUUGAGGAACAUGAGUUGUGUGUUGUACAUUUAUUAAUUUAAGGUUUGAAAUCAACUUUAUUUUAUAUAUACAUAUGCAUAUUUAUUUUUACAAGACUUUUGUAUGCGGUGAUGAAUCAAUUUUAGAUGGGAUAGUAGAUAAAGGUUUGAUGCAUGGUUGAUUCAACAGCAUGGGAACUCAUAUGGGUUGUCUAUAUAUGUACUGCUUCUUUGAAUUUUCUUCUUUUUGCUCAAAUCUUUUUUGUCAGUGAGAUUUUUUUAUAUUCUUUGUUGAUUAUAAAAUGGAAAAUUUAAGUCAUGUUGGAUCUUAUUGAAAAGAAGUUCAAUUUCAAUUUUCUUACUAUAUUAUAAGAUUAUUACAAAAAGAAAAUAAUAUUUGUUACCAAGGAGACAAUCAUGGACCACUCUUCUGAACCUAUCAGCAACCUUCUUCUAAAAACAUGCGUACCCAUCCACCAUGGUCUAUCCAUCCACCACGGUCCAUCCCCGGCAGUACAUGAAAGAAUAGACUGAGCAGGUACAUAGUUGAUGAGAUUAAAAAAAGUGGAAUAAGCUAAAAAGGGAUCAAAGAGGGAAGAGAAGUGCAAAAGCUAGAUAACCUGUAUAGACUGCGUGUCCGGUACCGCAAUUGUGGUAAGUCAAGAAGCCAGCAGGCCAUGAUCACUUGAAGAAUUCAGGGAUUCCUAAGUUGCGAUCGUGGUAUAUCCACAUGGGAUCGCAAGAUAGCAGGAAUUUCAGCUAGGGAAAAAAUUGUAAAAGUACAUAGCCGACCCCAAAUUCCCAUUAAGAAGCUCAAAACACUCAUCCAUGAAUAAUCAUUCUAUAACCCUACCUCCCAUCUUUAGUUUAGGAUUUCUGUAACUUGUUGGAGCUAAACUUAUACUAUUUGUGAGUUAAAAAGACAUUAGAGUGACCUCCAAGUAGAGAAUUGGCAAAUCCCAUUGAGGAUUCAUAAAAACUUAAAGUGUGGUUUGCAUUCUCUUUACUUUUUAUGAAUCAAUUUGAUGGAGAUUUUUUUUUA
Capsicum annuum is the source of this 2754-nucleotide long non-coding RNA. RefSeq lists it as uncharacterized. NCBI's taxonomy places the organism in Eukaryota, Viridiplantae, Streptophyta, Magnoliopsida, Solanales, Solanaceae. The transcript has 2 exons. The record is from RefSeq and is a predicted model, not a curated record.